RNAcentral lists this ribosomal RNA (625 nucleotides) under Bacillus toyonensis. RNAcentral describes it as "bacterial SSU rRNA". It matches the Rfam family "Bacterial small subunit ribosomal RNA", at positions 758 to 1388 of the family's 1533-position model. The record is from RNAcentral. Lineage: Bacteria; Bacillati; Bacillota; Bacilli; Caryophanales; Bacillaceae.
AGGGUGGGAGCAUCAGGAUAGAUCCUUGGUAGUCCACGCGGUAACGAUGAGUGCUAAGUGUUAGAGGGUUUCCGCCCUUUAGUGCUGAAGUUAACGCAUUAAGCACUCCGCCUGGGGAGUACGGCCGCAAGGCUGAAACUCAAAGGAAUUGACGGGGGCCCGCACAAGCGGUGGAGCAUGUGGUUUAAUUCGAAGCAACGCGAAGAACCUUACCAGGUCUUGACAUCCUCUGAAAACCCUAGAGAUAGGGCUUCUCCUUCGGGAGCAGAGUGACAGGUGGUGCAUGGUUGUCGUCAGCUCGUGUCGUGAGAUGUUGGGUUAAGUCCCGCAACGAGCGCAACCCUUGAUCUUAGUUGCCAUCAUUAAGUUGGGCACUCUAAGGUGACUGCCGGUGACAAACCGGAGGAAGGUGGGGAUGACGUCAAAUCAUCAUGCCCCUUAUGACCUGGGCUACACACGUGCUACAAUGGACGGUACAAAGAGCUGCAAGACCGCGAGGUGGAGCUAAUCUCAUAAAACCGUUCUCAGUUCGGAUUGUAGGCUGCAACUCGCCUACAUGAAGCUGGAAUCGCUAGUAAUCGCGGUUCAAAGGGCCGCGGUGAAUACGUUCCCGGGCCUUGUACAC